AACGAACGCUGGCGGCAUGCCUAACACAUGCAAGUCGAACGAGACCUUCGUGUCUAGUGGCGCACGGGGGCGUAACGCGUGGGAACCUGCCCUUAUGCUCGGAAUAACUCCCCGAAAGGGGUGCUAAUACCGGAUAAUGUCUUCUGACCAAAGAUUUAUCGCGUUUGUAUGGGCCCGCGUUGGAUUAGCUAGUUGGUAGGGUAAAAGCCUACCAAGGCAACGAUCCAUAGCUGGUCUGAGAGGCAGAUCAGCCACACUGGGACUGAGACACGGCCCAGACUACUACGGGAGGCGGGAGUGGGGAAUAUUGGAAUAUGGGCGAAAGGAUGAUCCAGCAAUGCCGCGUGAGUGAUGAAGGCCUUAGGGUAGUAAAGCUCUUUUACCCGGGAUGAUAAUGACAGUACCGGGAGAAUAAGCUCCGGCUAACUCCGUG
This 433-nucleotide ribosomal RNA is filed under the name uncultured bacterium. Its description in RNAcentral is "partial 16S ribosomal RNA". It matches the Rfam family "Bacterial small subunit ribosomal RNA", at positions 29 to 507 of the family's 1533-position model. The record is from RNAcentral.